UCUUUUCUUCUUUCUGCUAGGGUUCUACUUUUUGAGUUUCAUUAUACAGGGAAUAUCAAUGACGAUUCUUUUUGUUUACGGUUUCAUAUUGUUGGUUAAAGAGCAAUACUUCGAAACAAAAUGCAAAAGCUUGCCAGAAGCCGAAAAACAGUGAAGAUAGUAAUGUUUCCGGUGUUGAAUCUCUUCUACUUAAAAAGAGUUAAAGAGAUUAUAGAUUUGCUUCAGCAAAAGCUUGAAUCAGUGAUUCAGGUUCCUGUAGAAGAAAACCUAAAUCACUUAUCACCUUUUCAUCUUCAUCUUUACCUCUGUUCUUAAAAAAAAAAAGAUGUCAUUUACGGUUUGUUGUUUUUCUAUAUUUAUUUUGAUUUGGGUGUUGUUCGACUGAUUCUUUUGAUUUGUCUCACUGUGUUUUAGUUUUGCAGGUGAGGGUUCAUUACUUCAUCUCUCUUCACCGGACAUGAUUUAGGUUUCUCUUUUGAUUGGGGUUUCUUAUUUUAGGGUUUUCAGUUGCAACCUAACCAAGAUUAUUGCUUUGUUCCUUUUCUCUGUUCAAUUUUGAUUUUGCUCUUAGUUUCGAAUUAGGAUUUUUAAUUAUUCAUAAUUUUGUUUUGAUUUUGCAGGCAAAUUAAUCUCUCUGCAACAAUCGAUACUCAUAUUCAGCUGCUGAUAUACAUUUUGUUUUGAUUUUAUCACGAAUUUAAUCUAAGCUUGCAGUAUACCCUAACUUUUAACCACAACAGAGUGCACAUGAACUAUAAGCGAUUCAUUGGUUUUGUAUGAUAUUACAUGUUUUAGCCGUAGAGGUGAACACAUUUUUUCUACAUUUUUUCUGCAUGUUUCACAUCAUUAUAGUUGGGAGUCAAAAUUAGAUCCUUUCGAAUUAUAAUAUGGUACCCUGAAUUUUUUUGAUAGGAUUUUUGUUUAUUGUUUGUUCAUUGUAGUCCAUGUACCAUCUGUCUAAGAUAGAUUUUUGUGUUGUUCGCUAGAUCGACCGUUCACAAUAUUGCAGUAGGACUGUCUUUGAGGAUGCCAAACACGAAUUGGUCAAGCACUUCUUCUGGGAUGAAGAUUUCCGGUCCAUCCAGGGUGCAAUUCUACGUAAGAGGAAAGAACUGGGACAGUAAGGUUUGGUGAUUAUCUUAGCCUCUUCAUGUUUAAUGGACCAGGCUUGACUCAUCUUCUUAGUUGAAUUCAUUUGAUAUUAUUAUUUCAUUUCUAUAUUUUGGUGAAGUUUCCCUUCAUAAUAGGACCUCGAGUAUGGGAGGCAGGAAGAUCAUAUUAGUGUAUCACUAAGUUGGUGAAGUUUCCCUUCAUAAUAGGACCUCGAAUAUGGGAGGCAGGAAGAUCAUAUUAGUGUAUCGCUAAGGCACAAGCAUUAGUUGCUUCAAAAAUCAUAUAGAUGUUGAUGAACAACGUAGGAGACAGUCAAACUCAUGGUUAUGCCAACCGUACUCAUGAAGAACAACGAAAUCUACGAUUGAAGCUCGACUUAGAACCAGGAAAGUGCUGAAAUAUGACUGUGUUUAACAAAUUGAUUUGGAAAAAAUAAACUCAGCCCGUGCUUUGCCACUAGCAUCUCCCACAUCCGAAAUCACUGUGAUACUAUGUCGGGCAAAGAUCCAUAGCGUCCAGUUUGAGUUCUUUUUACCGAUACUAUUGGAGAUGCUUCUGCAUUUACUUUUGCUGCCCUAUAGAUUAACGGCUUUGGUUUUCAAGUGUAUUAUGGCCUGGCCACGCACUCUGAAGGAAAAUGGCCAGCAGUCAGAUAUGAAGAUCAAUCAUCAUGUUUGUUUGCCAUAUUGUGGGUCUAUGUCACUCUACACAUCUAAGUAGUUCACGGGUACACAUCAUCAGAUGACACUUCUUCUCUACAGAGGAUAAUCUUAAAAUUUGGUUUGUUUCAUACUUUGAAAAAAAUGUAUGCAGUUAGGUAAUGGUGUUUCAAGUCAUUUGAUUAACAAGCUAAUCUGAAUUUAACGGAUUUUAGAA
This is a long non-coding RNA of Papaver somniferum (opium poppy), 1989 nucleotides long. RefSeq lists it as uncharacterized. The record is from RefSeq and is a predicted model, not a curated record. Lineage: Eukaryota; Viridiplantae; Streptophyta; Magnoliopsida; Ranunculales; Papaveraceae. The transcript is spliced from 2 exons.